Suricata suricatta (meerkat) is the source of this 375-nucleotide long non-coding RNA. RefSeq lists it as uncharacterized. The record is from RefSeq and is a predicted model, not a curated record. NCBI's taxonomy places the organism in Eukaryota, Metazoa, Chordata, Mammalia, Carnivora, Herpestidae. The transcript is spliced from 3 exons.
AAGGCAUUUGAUUUGCAUCCUGCUAGUAAAGUCCCGUAUCUUUUUCUGUAUCCAAAUGAUUCAGAACCAAGGAAGCUUACAAAAAGCUUCCCAGGGAGUAGACUACACUCACUCACACUGCUUCUCCCCUCCCCCACUGCUUGGCCCCUUCUGUCCUUUGUACAUCUAGGUCAGAGGACCCCAUGACAUUAAAUGAACUCAUCCAUCAACACAUGAUUUCAGAAGCUUUAAAACAUCUGUAAAUCAAGGAAAAUAAGUCUUAUGUACCAAGGGAAGUCCUGCUGAGGAGGGCUGCCUGCUGACCUGGACCCUGAACCGUGUUGCACAUGCUGGCUUUUCCUCCUGGGCAAGCAGAACAUUGAUGGAAAUAAAACA